AUAAGACAUUUCUAUCUAGAAAUGACUUGAAAUCAUAUUAUUGAGAUAUGUAUAAUUUUAUGUGCUAGACUAGGUUGUACUUGUAUGUGAAUAUCAGUGUGUGGAAGCAUGUGUGCGCGCGGCGUCUCGAAAGCAAAGGAAUGAAAACUGUUCAGUUAACAAUCUGUUAGGGAAGAAAGUGCUGAGCACGUGCAAAGAGAAUUCAAGACUGGGCUGUGUGGAAAUACUUGGAUCCCUCUCCAAUGCACCCCGAAUCGCGUUAGUCACGGCUAAUGUAAGGAAGCAACAGGGUGGCUGUAGGGCAGCAGAAAAAUCGGAAACCAUCGAGAUUACUACAGAAAUGGAUGAAGUUAAAAAGAUAAGAAAGUCGGAAAUUAUCCCAAGGAUACGUCUGUUAGUUUCCAAUUAAGGAUACUUUCCCAACUGUUUCGCAAAAGGCAAUUUUGAUACUAACUGCUAAUAAGAAAUGGAUGUUCGUGAGAUUACAGAAAUUAGGUAAUAAUGGUUGUAAGUUGAGUUUAUAAUAUUUACUGAUCUUUUCGAAGCGUUUACGGAACAUUUUAGAGCACUGGAUAAUAAAAUUUAAUCAUAAUACAGAUCCGAAGAAAAUCAUGUUGAGUUUCUGAAAAAUGGUAUCUAAAUAUGGAGAUCUGAUGAAAAUUGUGAUGAAUUUCUGAAGGAUACCUAGUAUAAAUUUAUUGCACAGAAUAUCGUGUAAUUAAUAAUGCAAUUGGUAAACGGAUGUAAUUAGAUGAUGUUGAUUGUAAAGAUUUUGUAAGUUUCACUGAAUAUUUUGCAGGAGAGAGAAUGAUGAUAAGAAUCGAGAUCUAUGUGUAGGUAAUGCCAUUUGUACUUGCAGUGACAUGGAAAAAAGAAUAGAUAAUGCAGGAUAAUAUUUUUUCGUUUGAGGUUUCAUUUUCCAAGAUAAUUGGGUUUGAACUUCAUAUUUUAU
RNAcentral lists this unclassified non-coding RNA (952 nucleotides) under Bombus terrestris (buff-tailed bumblebee). RNAcentral's name for it is "misc RNA ENSBTSG00005023769.1". Lineage: Eukaryota; Metazoa; Arthropoda; Insecta; Hymenoptera; Apidae. The record is from RNAcentral.